Molecule: long non-coding RNA, 5263 nt
Filed under: Sus scrofa (pig)
Lineage: Eukaryota; Metazoa; Chordata; Mammalia; Artiodactyla; Suidae
Description: lncRNA (ENSSSCG00060016100.1)
Source: RNAcentral
GAUCCCGUGUUGCUGUGGCUGUGGCGUAGGCUGGCAGCUACAGCUCCAAUUUGACCCCUAGCCUGGGAACCUCCAUAUGGCGUGGAUGUGGCCCUAAAAAGACCAAAAGAAUUAAAAAGUAAAAUUUUUCAUUUUUUAUUGAAGUAUACUUGAUUUAAAAUAUUUCAAAAGUGAUUCAAUUUUAUGUAUGUAUCUCAUCAAGAACCACAAAUAUAGUGAUUGAGCUGUAAAUUCUUCAAGAAUCUUCCUUCCUGUUGGAAUAAAAAAUUCUUCUUUUGUGAUUUUGAGUUGAAUAUUGUAUUUAUAAUACAAUAUUCUCUUGUUUUUACUGACUUUUUAUCCCUUUAGUUGUUUUCAGUAGUAACAGUAAUACUUAAUAGUUAUUCCCUGUGUACUCUGUGUCAGGCACGGUGCAUUACAAACAGUGUCCAUUUUAAUCCUACUAAUCCUUGGAUUAUUACUAUCGUUUGUUCUUUAUAGCAGUAGUUCUCGAACUUCCUGGUUUCAGGAACUGUUUAUACUUCUAAAAAUUAUUAAGGACUCUGAAGAACUUUUGCUUAUUUGCAUUAUGUCUAUUGAUACAUGUUGUAUUAGAAAUUGCUUUGACAUCUUUUCAGUGUUAUUUCAUUUUAAAAGAGCAGUAAUAAGUCUAAUAUGUUAACAUAAAUAACACUUUAAUGAAAAAUUAUAUGUUCUAAAGAAAACUUUACUUUUCUUAGUAGCACUUUCGCAUUUUUGCAAAUCUCUCAACUGCCUUGCUUAAUAGAAGACGGCUGAAUUCUUAUACAUGCUUCUGCAUUCAAUUUGUUAUGCUUCAUUGUUUUAAUAAAUUGUAUUGUUCCUAGUUAUUCAGUUCCCUUCCAUAUGUCAGGCUUGGCCAUGUGACUUACUUUGGUAGUAAAAUCAAAGUGUUUCAUACCUUACUUUUCAGAGGAAGCUUCAAGAGCCAUUUUGAGGUUCUUCAUCACUCUUUCCCUCUGUUAUGUGCAUAGAAUUCCCCAAAGAGUGGCUGCCUCUUUUCCAACUUUGUUCUACAAUCAAAAUGUCAUGAAACAGAGCAAUUGAUGCCUAGCUAACAAUAUGUGAGGAAGGAUUAAACCUUGGUUGUAAGCCAUUGAGAUUUAGUGGUUAAUUUGUUAAUUUGUUAUUGUAUCAUAACUCAGUACAAGGGGACUGAUAUACAAAUUGAGAUACUGCUGUAAUAAAUACACAUUCAAAUAUACCUGAAAUAUAUGACAUUGAUUUGGGGGCUAAGCAAAUUGUGAUUCCCAUGAUAAAACUUUUGGGGAAGCUGUCUCUUGACAUAAUCAGAAAUCAGAUAAUGUAACAGAUGCUUAAUAUGUGGCAUUAAUCAAAGAGUUUGGUGAACAAAAUAUGACCAGUGUUCUUUGGUUGCUAUUGGCUUCAUUUGAUUGGACAAGAGAGAUGAGCUCAGGGAAGUAUAAGCAGGGUACAAAGGGAAUAUGGAGAAUCUAGAAAUUUCAAGAAUUGAAGGGUCAAAAGGUACUUUCUCACCUGAUAAAAUAUAUAAUUGAAAAAUUAUUUGAAUGGAGAGGAGCCUGUUAUAUUUCAGCCACCUAUCAAAGACCACAUGAGGGCUAAAGCCAGCAUAGUUUGUUUUUUUUAAACUCAGAUUCAGUUAAAGUAGGUACCUAGUAAAUAAUUUCACUUGAUUGACAUGGCUCAGGAUGAAAAAAGUACUGAGUGUGCAGCUAUCCCAUAGAAACUUGCUCGCCUCAAGGAAAUUGUAUUUAAGUCUAGUGUAAGAGGCAUAUCCUUAAAAGGUUUAUGAGUAUGACUGUUGAUAUAACAAGAUGACCACAAUUAAAUAAAUAAAAAGCUGACUAAAAUUUCCAGCAAGUUGUACCAUUCAUUGAGCUAGUAGGUUCCACUAAAAGAGAUUUGAUUGUUUAUGACUUUGUGCUUUCUACCUUCUAUGAAUGAUAAGUGGCCUGAGAAAGCUGGUCAGCCACUUAUGUGAUGGUAGUAAGGCAUAUUCUUUAAUACCUUAACUAUAGCUCUAAGGAAGAUCAAGGAAAAUGAAUGACUUCCUAUAGGACAGAGCUGGCAGCCUCAGAGAACAAUGAACUAGAAAACCAUCCAAAGAAAGCAAAACCAGGGCCAGUUACAGAACAUUCCCUACUCCCAGUUUUGAAGCUCCCCUCACAACUUCAGAAUUCACAUUGAUAAGUGACUUCUGUUUGUUUCCCAUUCUUCCCUUUUCCAAGCUGAAGUUGUAUUCCACUUGUAUUAUUCUCAUUCUAUAAUUAUAUGUUCAAUAUUUGAGGGGCAGCUAACCUGUCUUUGUGUUUAUUGACCUCCAGAAUAAAAGGGCCACAACUGGAUUUUAAAUGGAGCCUAACACAAGAUCCUAGACUUUGUAAGUCUAUUAAUUGUAAUUCUCCACCUGUGACUUCUUGUGUCCAAUAUAAUGUGAAGAGAAGGCGUGUACCUCCAAGCAGAGUCCUUAGAAACAGUACAUUGUUCUGCCAUGGCUUACUUCCAUUUGCUGUGAAGUUAGUGUGUCCCAAAAAGGGGCUGCUUCUUUUAGCCUCUAACCCCCAGAUGACAUGUAACAUGGGUAAAACAUAAGUCUUUAUAGGUCUAAGCCACAAAGAUUUAGGAGUUAUUUCUUAUCGCAUUGUAACCUAGUAUAAGCUGUCUGAUAAAGCAAUAAUGGUCAAAGUUUGUGUUUACUGUUAGAAUCCCGGAGAUAAUAAGACUCCAAAAUGUCCUGGAAAUUGCCUUUUUCUCUGCACUUUACCACCAGAAGAUAGAGAAUGAAAAUUACCAUUUUUAUUUGGCACUUCACAUACACCAUGUGUAUUGUUAUUUUUUUCACAGCUCCAUUCUGCUACUCACUUUGUCAUAGGCUCAGAAAUUUCAUUUUGUGCUACCUAUUCUUCCCCAUUAGUGGAGUGAAACAGUCUUCUACAAUAGUUUUAUUCAAUUGGCUUUUACAUUGGCAUGUUUAAUUGUAGAAGCUAUGAUCUAAAUUUGUUUAUGAUACUUUGGCCACUUAGAGACAGUGAGUUGGAGCGGCUGUCUGUGAUUGAAUACUGUCACAGAACACAUGGAAAGGUCUCCAUACUUUUCAAACUACAGUGUCAGUACAUUUUUAACAGUUUUCAGGAUCCGAUUCAAACACGGGUUUUUGUUUUUUGUACCUGGAGAAAAUCUUGCUACUUUCCCCCACUGCCUUUUUGCCCCAGUGGCAGUGUUAUGGACUUUGAUCAGUGUAUUCUUUGGAGGACACCAGGCUCAGCAUCUUUUUCCUUUUUGAUUGUAAGCUUUCAGAACUCCACAGCUAAGUUUGGGGCAAACGCUUCAGUCAGGCGAUUUGUUCUUUAAUUUAGCUGAAUUGUAGAACAUUGUGGCUCAUUAUCUUUCUUGACUUGAAAAUACAAAUGAGUACCUGAGUUAUAAGAAUCCCUCAGGAUGCUGUAGCCAUUGAUGAUGCUUGAUAAGAGAAACUGCAGCCAUUAAUGAUGCUUAAAGAAAUGAAAGCCAUUGAUGAUGCUUGAAGAAAUGAAAGCUACGGCAAGAAAGUGCUGUAGCCAUUGAUGAUGUUUGAUAAGAGAAACAUAUAUAAAAACAUAGAAUGUUCAUGUCCUUUACAAAAACAUUUUCACCAAUUCAGUAAGGGGAAAGUGCUUAUUAGUAGGUUAAUUCAGGCAAGGCUAUGGGCACAGAUUCUUAAAUUAGUUGAGGCAAAAAGGAAUCAUAAAAGUUGGAUUGUAAUCUAACAAAAUGUCUCAAUAUUGAUCCUCUGCUAACCAAAACAUCUUGAAUUGAGCUGAGGAUGUACAGAGCUGGGCAAUUUUGGUGAUCUGGUAAAUUUUUAUAGACUUGUUAGUAUUCUUGGGAUUUGUCUUAAGUCUGUCAAACUAACUUGAAUUGAACUGUGUGCUCAAGAAGUUGGCAGACACAUGCAAAAACUAAGCUAAGGUAUGUGAAGGUCAUUAAUUUCUUAAGUUUAACCAGUUGUCACUGAAGCACAUUUGUUAUUUGAAAGGCUGUUCUCUAUGCAUAUUAAUAUGCCUGCACAGUGCCUCUGUUCAUAUUAUGUGAAAACGGUAGGAUUAUUUAUCUUGUCACAUUAGUUAACUGGAGUCAAGUGCUCAAAUUUGAAAGUAAUUUUUUUUCAGUUUGGGGUAUUUAUAAAACUUUUUUUUGGAUGACUCAUUAUUAGACAGAUAAACGAUUCAUACAGUUAUGAAGGAAACAACAUUUAUCUUUCAAGGGUUUUGGGGAAAGCAUUGUACAGUUAAUUCAUUGCUUUUUGACAUGCCUAGCAAUUCUGUUGUUAUGGUAUUGAAAAAAAUAAUUUGUAGAAUGCUCAGUGCAGAGCACCUUUUAGUUUUCUUAUUAUCAGGGAACAGACACCAAGAGACCUUAACAACUGGCUUGCUUAUAUAUUAAUGAUGACAGAGGUCUGGAACUCCUGUUAACUUGAUGAACUAAAGCUAAAAUAUAAAGAAAAAUAUAUUCUCUUUCAUGUAUGAAUAUGUCAUUAAUUUUCUGUCAUACAUAGCAUGCAUUUUGUUGAUUUUUUUAAAAGAGAGAUGGAAAACAAGGAAUGGGAAUGUUUAGUAGGUUCUUCAAGUCAAUUGUACCUGUAAAAAAAUAGCUGGAGAACGUGAAUUGAUUGCAAAUUCAGAUUAAAUAAUCAAGAUGAUCUACCAAAAAGCUAAAUUGAUCUGAGAUUUUGUUAUAGAAGAAAAUUAUCUAACAGUUUUCAAAAUUUCUCUAGAACAAUCUUGUCAGUGUUUUAUAAAAAAUGUGUAAUCUUGGGCCCUAUCCCAUACAUAAUGAUUCAGAAACUUGACUUUUGCUCUAGCAUUCGGUGUUUUAGUAAGUCCUCCAAGGGAAUUAUGAUUUAUGCUACAUUUUCAGAACUACUGAUCUACAACAAAAUCCUCUUCUACCUGAUGCUUAUCAAAGCAUUUCUGGAUCAAUUAUUUGGCUUUUAUUUUGUAGUCUAAAAAAGAUGCUUCCAGCUGAAGUCUCCUAAAGGAAAAUGCUGUGGCAUAGAAAGGACUAGAGGAGUUCCUGUCGUGGCUCAGGGGUAACAAACCUGACUAGCAUCCAUAAGGAUGUGGGUUCGAUCUCUGGCCUCGCUCAGUGGGUUAGGAUCCAUUGUUGCUGUGAGCUGUGGUGUAGGUCACAGACAAGGCUCAGAUACUGCAUUGCUGUGGCUGUGGUGUAGGGUUGACAGCUGCAGCUCUGAUUUGACCCCUAGCCUGGGAACCUCCAUAUGCUG